AGUGAACGCUGGCGGUAGGCCUAACACAUGCAAGUCGAACGGCAGCACAGGAGAGCUUGCUCUCUGGGUGGCGAGUGGCGGACGGGUGAGGAAUACAUCGGAAUCUGCCCAGUCGUGGGGGAUAACGUAGGGAAACUUACGCUAAUACCGCAUACGACCUUCGGGUGAAAGAGGGGGAUCGCAAGACCUCUCGCGAUUGGAUGAGCCGAUGUCGGAUUAGCUAGUUGGCGGGGUAAUGGCCCACCAAGGCGACGAUCCGUAGCUGGUCUGAGAGGAUGAUCAGCCACACUGGAACUGAGACACGGUCCAGACUCCUACGGGAGGCAGCAGUGGGGAAUAUUGGACAAUGGGCGCAAGCCUGAUCCAGCCAUACUGCGUGGGUGAAGAAGGCCUUCGGGUUGUAAAGCCCUUUUGUUGGGAAAGAAAUCUUUCAGGCUAAUACCCUGGGAGGAUGACGGUACCCAAAGAAUAAGCACCGGCUAACUUCGUG
This 490-nucleotide ribosomal RNA is filed under the name uncultured bacterium. Its description in RNAcentral is "partial 16S ribosomal RNA". It matches the Rfam family "Bacterial small subunit ribosomal RNA", at positions 29 to 507 of the family's 1533-position model. The record is from RNAcentral.